RNAcentral lists this long non-coding RNA (757 nucleotides) under Cyanistes caeruleus (blue tit). Its description in RNAcentral is "lncRNA (ENSCCEG00000023851.1)". Lineage: Eukaryota; Metazoa; Chordata; Aves; Passeriformes; Paridae. The record is from RNAcentral.
CUUCCUGUGCUGGUGUUUUAAAGCAGGUUUUCUGUUACUGUCGAUCACAAGAGCCGUCUGUAAGCUGAGAUCUUUCCAGGGCUUAAUUCUCAAUGUGAGGGCUCAGAGGGACCCCUGCAUUCAAGGGGGAGUGGGGUAAAAAUAAAGUCAGCAUAAGCUGUUUGUCCUUGAGCAACUACAACAGUUUCAAUUUCCCGACAGAAAACUUCGUGCAUGACAGAAGCGACAAUUGCCCUCCAAUUCAGUGAGGAAAUGGUUCCUCCAUGCUUCCAGUAUGAUUUGAGUGCCUGUGCCCUGCAUUCUUGCAGGGUGCAAUAUUCCACUUGAGGGAUGCUCUUGCUAAUCAGUGGGUGGCUGCAAGUACAAGUGCUUUCACCUGGCAUCUUGGAAAACAUGAUUUUGAUGUGAAACGUAGACCGAGUUUAUAUCCAAGAAAUGCAUCUGUGCCUUCAAAUGUAUCUCUUCAAAGGAAAAAAAGAGAGAGACAUGAGAAUGAAACUUAAUAUAAAACUUUGCUGAAUGUUUUCAGGUCCUGGUAAACUCUUUUAGAAACACAGAAAACAAUGGCAAAAAGAACUACAAAGACAGGGUCCAAUGGGAGUCUGUGUGUCUAUUUGUCCCCGUGGGGGUUUUUUGGUGACGGAGCCUACAGUUCCAAGGCAUUCAUCAAACCUGGGGAAAUAAAAGAAAAAGAAAAAUGAGAUAGCAUGCAGAAUCCAGAUUUGUAAAGGACACCCUCACUGUUUCCCAGCACGUU